AUCCCAUCUCUUAAAUAAAAAGAUUUUUUUUUUAAGAAGUUGUACAUGUGCAAUGGCUGCAAACAGCAGCUUCCUUGGCAGUGUGUGCAGCCUGUUUCUUGUAUGGGUUGCUCUAAGGGACCUUGGAGACAGGC
Molecule: small nucleolar RNA, 134 nt
Organism: Homo sapiens (human)
Lineage: Eukaryota; Metazoa; Chordata; Mammalia; Primates; Hominidae
Rfam family: Small nucleolar RNA SNORA70
About the family: snoRNA U70 seems to be exclusive to mammals and is a member of the H/ACA class of snoRNA which contain H (ANANNA) and ACA box motifs. H/ACA box snoRNAs are involved in the conversion of uridines to pseudouridines (5-ribosyluracil) a constituent of structural RNAs (transfer, ribosomal, small nuclear, and small nucleolar).
Source: Rfam